AAAAUUCCUAAAAUUUAACACUUCUUUCGAUUCGAUUGGGACCUUUAAACCUUCUUAAUUCAGCACUGGAACUUUAACAUUCAUAUCAAUUUUAUUGCUGACAGGAACCCUUCAAAUUGGAAUUUUUUAACCAUGAUACAGACAUCAGCAUGGCUGUUUUAAUACUAGGUGACCAAUAACACAAUGUUAGACUAUUAGAAAGCAUUUUUGUUUUAAUAAGAUGUCCACAUGGCUUUUAAUACAUGGUGAUUGCCAGCUUUACAAUUAAAAAGACAAUCAAAUGAUAU
Molecule: unclassified non-coding RNA, 287 nt
Filed under: Hevea brasiliensis (rubber tree)
Lineage: Eukaryota; Viridiplantae; Streptophyta; Magnoliopsida; Malpighiales; Euphorbiaceae
Source: RNAcentral